UUAAGGAUUGGCAGUAGAGGCACAUGUAUUUCUCUGGACUUCCCUGUUUAUUGAAGGCCUUCUGAAGGGGAAAAAAGUACCAGCAACGUGUUCCUGGACAGAAUGUACUGGGGAAAUACUGGCUACAUGUACUAUGUGACAAUUGCAGUCACUUCUACUUGGAAGUGUCAGCACUGCCAUACAGAGAGGCACAAGGACCUUACUAAGAGUGGACCUCAGAAGUAACAGAGGAAGUCCCUGCUUCUGGAGUUGUCAUUGAAGGCAGCAUAUGGCUCUCCUGCAGUCAGGGAUGGAUCCUGCAGUGCGAUCUAGCCAGCCUUCACACCUCCGAUUCCCACAACCCCCACACAGAGGUCACCACUUUCAGCUAGGAGGCUCUGUGCAGUCGCAGUCAGCACCCAUUCCCCAGAGUGCUUAUCUGGCCUGCAUAUCCUGGAUGAUUUUUUACCAUAAUCACUGGAAAGAUUUGAGCUGGAGAGCAAUUGUCUGCAGAAUGCUGUUAGCUGGGAGAUUAAUCUGGAUAACUUGAAGUGUCUUGACUGGAGAUUUUAGAAUUGGCACAUUCUAUUUUCAACAUAUAAACCUAUUCUGAUACUUAUACAGAGACAUAAAAUAUAGGAGCAAUGUUUAAUAUAUUUACUUUCAUAGGACAGCUACAUGUAUCCUGAAACUGAAGCUCUUAUCUUUGUUUUCUUUACUUGUUAUCCAGUAAUAUGUAAAUUAUUGAUUACAUGCACUCAGGCUUAGCAAAUCUUGCAUUCGGAUGUACCUUUUUAAUGACUGAAAUAGUGAUUUUUUUAAGAGUCUGUGGGUAGUAACAUUAAUUGGCAUUCAGAACUGAAGAACUGCUUUAACCCACCUACUAAACAAAUAUGUCUGUCAUGAUGCUGUCGUGGUUACCUUUGAUGUAAAAUCACAUUUUUAUUGAGCAAGAAUGGAGGGGCAAUGCUAUUUGGAAGGAAGAGUUCGGGUGACAGUGACACUGAUUUGUAAGAUCAGGUUCUGACAUAUUGUUGCUGCUACUUUCACUUUCAUGGAGUUGCUUAGAUGCAGCUGAAAUGGACUCAGAAUGUGGUUUACAAAGGACUUAAGAGUGUUCCUCAUCUGACUGCCAAAGAAAGAAAGCAAGGGAGAAGGGAGGAUCCUCCAAGACAGUAGUGUGUUUGCUAAGAAAGAAACAGAGAAAGGUAAAGAGAAUGGAAAGUUUAGAUGAAGUUGGAAGAACUGCAUAAACGAAGUUCCAUUCAAGGUUAGAAGUGUGGUCUUCAACAUCACCCCCACGCUGGCUCAAAGUCAAAUUAAAUAAUGAAUGUUUUCCUUGACCUUGUGCUACUUUUGCAAUGUGUUAUACGAUAUGUUCAAAAGUUAAACUGGCCCUUAAUAAUACUUCUCAGUUUGGUGUUAUUGUUGGAGUACCACAUAUACCGUAAUCCUCCUGGUCUCAGACAAAACUGUCAGUGUUUUCAGGGCAGGUUUCACCAAAUUGUCCAAAGAAAGCUUGUGAACAGAGACUCAUUUCAGAACAGUACUACACAUUCUCAAUGCUUGCUGAAAUAGUAGCUGAAAUGGCUUGGAAAGAUCACUGCAGUGGUGUGUGGAGGUAUGUCAUCAUUGCUUAUUUUCAUCAGCUUGGAAAUCCAAUGAGAUCACUGAGAAGCAGCAAGAAAGGAGUGACACUGUUCAGUGGGAAGCAAUGGACUUGAAUUCCUUCAGGUAAAGAGGAAAACGUGCAUGUUUUGCUCUUGGAAUCAGCGAGUUCAUAUUCUGCUUCCAGAAAACAGGAAUAGGCCGACACUAUGAAAGAGAUGCAACUGUGAGCU
This is a long non-coding RNA of Centrocercus urophasianus (Greater sage-grouse), 1820 nucleotides long. RefSeq lists it as uncharacterized. The record is from RefSeq and is a predicted model, not a curated record. The transcript is spliced from 4 exons. NCBI's taxonomy places the organism in Eukaryota, Metazoa, Chordata, Aves, Galliformes, Phasianidae.